GAGGUGGAGCUAAUCCCUAAAAGCCGGUCUCAGUUCGGAUUGGGGUCUGCAACUCGACCCCAUGAAGUCGGAGUCGCUAGUAAUCGCAGAUCAGCAACGCUGCGGUGAAUACGUUCCCGGGCCUUGUACACACCGCCCGUCAAGUCACGAAAGUUGGUAACACCCGAAGCCGAUGGCCUAACCACCUUGUGUGGGGGGAGUCGUCGAAGGUGGGACUGGCGAUUGGGACUAAGUCGUAACAAGGUAGCCGUACCGGAAGGUGCGGCUGGAUCACCUCCUUUCUAAGGAG
Molecule: ribosomal RNA, 289 nt
Filed under: Glutamicibacter halophytocola
Lineage: Bacteria; Bacillati; Actinomycetota; Actinomycetes; Micrococcales; Micrococcaceae
Description: partial 16S ribosomal RNA
Rfam family: Bacterial small subunit ribosomal RNA
Source: RNAcentral